Molecule: non-coding RNA, 2724 nt
Organism: Microcebus murinus (gray mouse lemur)
Lineage: Eukaryota; Metazoa; Chordata; Mammalia; Primates; Cheirogaleidae
Source: RefSeq, a predicted model, not a curated record
CUUUCAGCAGACCUUCUGGAGGUGAAGAGGAAGUUUUCCUCCUCCCCACCCCACGAUAGUAUGGACAGCUCUGUAGAAAUACCAUUGGACAAAAAAGGCAUCGCUCACCAGGCCCCCUUAGAAAGGAAUUUUUGGGCAAAGAAAGGGAUCAGAGUUCAGUCCUCACCAAGGAGUCACAUUUUGGGAAGAAAUUUUCUGAGCUCCUUCAUCUGUCAUGGGAAUCCUCAAUUUUAGCCAAGUCAGACAGAAAUUGCCAGGAUUGAACUGGAUCACUGGACACCCAGUUGGUGUUCGCAGAGAACUGGAGAAUUUCAUGGUGUGGAAAAUCUACACGUUUGGCAUCGGAAGUGUUGGGCUCUGACCAUGGACCAGGGAAAGGGAUGAACCAGACCUUUCAGGGGCUUUAGGACACUACCUCUAAACUAAGGCAGAUCCCUGGGGAACCAGAACACCAGAGUCAGGGGUGCCUGCUCCGAGCCUUGCAUGAAGAAUGGGAUUGCCUCCUGUGAUCACUGCCUUUGGAUCAACUCUAACCUCAAGAGACCUGACCAUUGAGGGUGCCAGCUCAGCUGAGUCCUUCUACUACCCAGCUGCUUGGAAUACAGAUGUGGUGGCUGGAGCUUUUGCUGCCAACUUGGAUCACAAAGAUGAGAGGGGGCAAUAGUGACCUCGAAUGAAACCUAAGUCCUCAAAGACCUAAUGAAACAGAGCUGCUAUUUCAGCCAUCACUGUCCACCUCCAAACUUCUACAAGAGAGAAAAAAACAAAAAAACUUUCGUGUGUUUAUGCCACUGUUAUUAGUGGAGCCUGUAUUAUUAGUAACUGAAAUGAAUCUUAAUUCGUGUAUCCAUUACAUUUGCUUAGUUUUAUACUUUCCAGAAGUCUAAUUAUUUUUCCCAGUGAAGUUCAUGUUUCCCUGGAUAUCAGCUAUCCUGGCUGGCAAUGGGAACAUCUGGAAGAAACUAAAGCCUAGCCUCUAUCUCUUAUCCCUCCUGGGGAGCUCAAGGAAUGCCGUGGGGGUGGGAGUUGCCUCUGGCAUUACAAUACGAAUGUGCCGCCCCCUCUGGGAGUUUCUGGACACUCUCCCCUGGCCACUGCUCUUUUCAUGAGCUGGAUCUUGUGGUUAGAAUCCUUGAUCCAUGAAAUGGGGAGGAGGGGCUGCCAGGUCUGCUUGUUCUGUGCUUCUAACCGCAGCCUCAUGUCCCCAUCCUUGCUGACACGAAUGUUUUUUGCCUCCCAGUACCGUGGCAGUGGUGGAGGGAGGCAUGGGGUGGACCAUGAUCUACUGAGGCCAGUGUGUGCAGAGAAAAACCCACAAGUAUAAGAUGUUCACUCAGCUUAUCCCCCUACCGUGGCACUGAGGUAGAGGAGGGGAGGGGGCUUCUCCUGGUUUCCCCUGAGUUUCUCAGAGUCCUUAUCAAUCUCCCUCCUGCUUCUGAGGGACCUUCAAGGCUACAUUCACAGGAAGGGGCCAGCCCCUCCAGUACAUUAGCAUCUUGUAUGCCCUGGCCGGUUAUUUCUAUAGUUUCAGAUCACCAUCUGAAGCCAUUAUUCAUGUGUUUUGAUUGUUUAUUGUCUCUCUCCCCUAGGCCCCACUAGAACAUCAGGUCCAUGAAGGUAGGAACCUGCCUGUUCACAGCCGUCUCAUCAGCACCGAGCACAGUGCCUGUCAGAGACAUUCCACAAACACAGGCUGAAUGAGUGAAUCACUGAGCUGGUGCUGGAACCCAACCGUGAUUCCAGCCCAGGACUUCUUGCUCCAAAUCUAGGGCUCUUCCCAUCCGGGCCCCAGAUCUCCGCUCUGAGCAUCAAGGAAAUCCCAAAGACGAUAUGCAGAGGCAAAAAGUCAUGAGUCAGGACCACAACAGAGGUAUGGGGUCCUUCCCCCAAACUCUGGCUAAACCAACUGCUGAACCAUUGGAGUCAGGGCAGGGCUGCGUCUUUGAAUCUCCCGCUGCUUGAACACAGUGGAUGCUCAAGAGGGGUUUGUUUUAGGGACACACAAAACUAUACUGUAGGAGAUGUUUCAGCAUGUUUAUGGGGGCAGGAAGCAGGGUGACUAGGAGAGAGGAUUGGGGAUUAUAUGGAGAAGGAGAGGGCACUAGCCUGAGCUUGACUCAAAGGGGCCUUCAGUGUAGCACUGCAUAAUACAUGGGGGAGCAAAGAGCCACACACAGCUUUUUACAUUUAAUUAAAAUGAAAUGAAAAGUAAAAUUCAGUUCCUCAGUUGCACUAGCCAAAUUUCAAGUGCUCAGUAAUAGCCACAUGGCGUUCGUGGCGGGAGCAUUGGACGAUGCAGAUAAUAUAAAACAUUUCACGGUUCUACUGGACAAGGCUGAUCUGCACUCCUGCUCCUGGCCUGCCGCGGCCCCGACUCACGCCAGAGCAUCCCUGCGAGCCACAUCUACCCCACUAGGCCUUCUCCCUGGCCGUCUGCAUGCCUGGUUUUCGCCCCCAGUGCCUAGGGCAGUGCCCCGCGCACAGUAAGUGUUUGCGGAAAUAGUGGGCCCUCGACCAGCGUUUGCCAAAUGUUGAAGGCCCCAAGGAGAGUUGGAUGGCAGCAGUAACCCCUACUUCUCUCUCCUGUCACUCCCUGCCCUCUUCUCUGCAGCCACCUUCCACCCACUCGGAGCAGGAGCUGGGGGCACAAAGAGGGGCCGGCCCUGCCCCCAAACCAUGUGGGAUUCCAGAAAUACCUGCUCCAGGUUUCAAGGCAUCUUACCU